This 4923-nucleotide long non-coding RNA is filed under the name Sus scrofa (pig). Its description in RNAcentral is "lncRNA (ENSSSCG00000056100.1)". Lineage: Eukaryota; Metazoa; Chordata; Mammalia; Artiodactyla; Suidae. The record is from RNAcentral.
UUUCUUUCCUACAUAUGACUAUUCCAGGUUAAAUGCUGGCGUGUAAACACAUUUAAUACAGGAGUAAUAUAAGUUCAGGUAGACGUGAAUCUUUCUGUCCCCUGUAAGAAUUUAUGAGUGGUAGUAACUAACGAUGGUACUCUACUUUGUUUCAUCUUUUAGAUUGUAGUGCCUAGUUUUAACUGUCCUUUGUCUUCUAUCGUAAAUCAGAUCCCACUAUGCUUAAGAGCAUCUGUUGUAGGAAGGAAAAAGAUCAGUAUCACUUAUUUAUUUAUAUAUUUAUUUAUUUUAAGCUGUUAAUUAAUUUUUAAAUCGAAGUAUGGUUGCUAUACACUCUAAGUUACAGGCAUACAAUAUAUUGAUCCACAGUUUUUAAAGGUUAUACUUCAUUUAUAAUUAUUAUAAAAUAUUGGCUGUGUUCCCUGUAUUAUGCUAUGCUCUAUAUCCUUAUAACCUAUACCUAAUAGUUUGCAUUUUUUUUUUUUUUUUAGGGCUGCACUUGUGGCAUAUGGAAGUUCCCAGGCUUAGGGUCUGAAUUGAAGCUAUAGCGGCCGGCCUAUACCAUAGCUGCAGCAACUUGGAAUAUGAGCCUUGUCUGCGACCUACACCACAGCUCACAGCAAUGCUGGAUUGUUAACCCACUGAGCAAAGCCAGGGAUUGAACCCAUGUCCUCAUGGAUACUAGUUGGGUUCAUUACUGCUGAGCUAUGACAGGAACUCCAGUUUGCACAUCUUAAUACCCUACCUCUCUACUACCCUCCCUCCCCCACUGGUAACCACUGGUUUGUUCUGAGUCUGCUUCUUUUUUGUUAUAUUCAUUAGUUUACUGUAUUUGUUAGAUACCACAUAUAGGUCAUAUCAUAGAGUAUUGGUCUUUAUCUGAUUUAUUUCACUUAGCACACAUAAUGCCUUCCAAAUCCAUCCAUGUUGCUUCAAUUGGAAAUAUUUUCUUCUUUUUAUGGCUGAGUAGUAUUCCAUUGUAUAUAUUCCACGAAUAUAUUAUAUCUUUAUCCAUUCAUAUGUUUAUGGUCACUCAGGUUGCUUCCUCUUGGCUACUGUAAAUAAUGCUGCUGUGAACACUGGGGUGCACAUAUCUUUUUAAAUUAGUGUUUUGGGGGUUUUUUGGGGAUAUAUAUGCAGAAGUGGAAUUGCUGAGUCAUACAUUUCUAUUUUUAGCUUUUUGGGAAAAUUCCAUACUGUUUUCCAUACACAAUUUAUAUUCCUAUCUACAGGGUUCAAGAGUUCCCUUUUCUCUUCAUCCUUGGCAAUGUUUGUUAUUUGUGUUCUUUUUGAUGAUAGCCAUUCUGACAGGUGUGAGGUGAUACUUUAUCGUGGUUUUGAUUUGCACUUCCCUGAUGAUUAGCGAUAUUAAACAUCUUUUUAUAUGCCUAUUGGCCAUCUGUAUGUCUUCCUUAGAAAAAUGUCUAUUCAGGUCUUCUGCCCAUUUUUAAUUGGGUUGUUUGUUCUUUUGAUGAGCUGUUGGAUAUACCCCCUUAUUGGGCAUAUCAUGAUAUAAAAUAUCAUUUGCAAAUAUUUUAUCCCAUUCAGGAUGUUGUCUUUUCAUUUUGUCAAUGGUUUCCUUGGCUAUGCCAAAGUUUGUAACUUUAAUUAGGUUCCAUUUGUUUAUUUUUGCCUUUAUUUUACUUUCUUUAGAAGAUGAAUCCAAAAGAAAUUAUUGCUAUGAUUUAUGUCAAAGAAUUGCUCUGCCUAUGUUUUCUUCUAAGAGUUUCAUAUUAUCCAGUUUUACAUUUAGUCUUUAAUCCAUUUUGAGUUUAUUUUUGUAUAUGCUGCUAAAUAAUGUUUUAAUUUCAUUUUUUUACAUGCAGCUGUCCAGUUUUCCCAAGGCCAACUUAUUGAAGAGACUGUCUUUUCUCCAUUCUAUAUUCUUGCCUCCUUUGUCACAGAUUGUUGAUCAUAAGUGUGCGGGUUUAUUUCUGGGUUCUCUAUCCGAAGUUGUGUUUCUGCAUCAAUUACAAAAUAAGACAUAAAUGAGUAUCCUUUAAAAAUUAUGGACAUAAGCACUGCCUUAGUCUGUUCAGAUGAUUGUAACAAAAUACCUCAGACUGGGAGACUUAUAAAUAACAGAUAUUUAUUUCUCAUAGUUUUGGAGGCUGGGAAGUCUAAAAUCAGGGUGUCGGCAGGGUUGAGUUCUGGUGACAGCCCUCUUUCUAGUUUAUAGCUGGUAUCUUCCCACUGUGUCUUCACAUGGUUGAAAGAGCUAGGGAUCUCUCUGGGAUCUCUUUUACAAGGCACUAAACCCAAUCAUGAGGAUUCUACGCUGUGGAAUUAUAUAACCUCAGCUAAAAUUAAAGCCAGGACAAGUCUGUAGGGGUAGCUCUCACUCUCUGCCAUACAUAAUCAACUACUUCAAACAGGAAAAGACUUUAGUCUCUAUGUCCAACAGGAAGGUGCCUUUUUUUAAUUAUCCAGCAGAAAGAAGAAAAUUUCUCUCCACCCCAAUCUGAGGCUGUAGCAGCCCAACCAAUGAGAAGCCUCCAUAGUUACCACAGCCCCUCCCAACCCUCACCUUUUCCCUGCAAAGGCAAGUACCCUCCUUUCUUCUAGCUCUUCUUUUAACAACAUUAACUUUGUGUUUUAUUGGACAUAAUGUUAUUAGUGUGUCUUUUCAUAUCAUUUGGAAAUGUGUUCCUAUAAUUCCAAAAUUAAAACUUACUCUUUUUUUCUUUUUGACCACUUCUGUGGCAUGUGAAACUUCCCAGGCCAGAGAUUGAACUUGUGCCACAACUGUAACCAGAGCCACAGGAGUGACAACGCAGGAUCCUAAACUUGCUGAGCCACCAGGGAACUCCAAAAACUUACUCUUAAAUAUUUGAAUUCUUGUUUUAUAAUUCUUGCUUUAGUGAAUAUCAUAUACUAAAAUAUCCAAUGGAAUAAUUUUGUGUGAUUAGAAGUCAUGUCCAAUAAAGUUAAGCAAGACUACAGCUUUUAUAUAAAGAGAGAUGAGCUUGAUUUAGGAUUUUGUGUAUCUUAUGUUGCUAGAUUGCUUAACCUAGAAAGGGGAAAAUCCUAAAAUGGAGAUUAAUUCUUGAUACUACAAUAACACCACAUCUAGGCUUCUGACUGGCUUGUGUGAAAUGAAUGUGUGGGUUUCUCAGACAACCACCUCACAGCACUCAGACCAGUAUGAUUUACCUAGUAUUUUGGACAUCCAGGGAGAAAAGGCUUAGACUUGAGGGUGGUUCCCUUCUCCCUGGGCAGAAGGGAAGGGGGAAGGAGGAGGAAAGAAAGAGAACUGUAUUUAAAAUUUUACCUUCUUAGGGUAGAUACUGAGUAUUCCAAAGCUUGUAAAUAAUAGGAUAAUGCUCCCCACUGAAAUUAGGACCUUGUCUUUAUGUUAUAAAUAAAUUUAUAAUUUCCUAAUUGCUAUUGAUAUUUGUUGCAGCCUAAACAAGCAGAUGUGUUUUUAAAUUAGAUUUGCCUAUAAUAAACUAAUGGAUGUCUCAAGUUCAAUUUUUUCUUAGACCCUUAUUUUAUGAAAGUAUUUUAAUUGUGUUUACUGAAAGAAAUAUGCACAAUUAAAUUGACUUCUCUGUGAUUACAUAUUUCAUAACUUCCUUUGAUAUAUAAUCUUUAUUGAUAAAGUGGUUAUUCUCAAAAGUAAAUGGAGGCAAAUGAUUGUGGUAAACAGUAAAAUUAAAUAUUUAUAAAUAAAUAUCAAAUGUAUUUCCUCUAAAAUGAGUCAUUUCUGGAGAAGACACAUGUGCUUAUAAACGUGAUUUAGGCACUUAAUAUAUUAAGUUUAUUCAGUAUUUUCUCAAAACAGUUAAUCUAUUUUUCUCUCUCUCUUGCUUUUUCUUUUUAGGGUCGCACCUGCGGCACAUGGAAGUUCCUAGGCUAGGGUGGAAUCAGAGCGAGUGUAGCUGCUGGCCUGCACCACAGCCACAGCAACAUAGGAUCCAAGCUGUUUCUGUGAACUACACCACAGCUCAACACCAGAUCCUUAACCCACUGAGCAAGGCCAGGGAUUAAACCUGUGUCCUCAUGGAUGCUAGUUGAGUUGUUACCACUGAGCCACAAUGGGAACUCCCAAAACAGUUAAUUUAUUUUUCAUUUAACUACUGUUGUUUAAAAAAUUACUCCAAGACUUGUUGGCUUAAAACAACACAAUUUUGCUAUGCCUCACAAUUUUGUUGUGCCUCACAAUUUUGUUAUGCCUCACAAUGUGUGGAUUGGGAUUUGGCAAUGGCUUUUUGAUUUCAUAUUACUAGGACUCACUGGAAUGUCCAGGAUGCCUGCUUCCCUCACAUCUUCCACUUGGGCUGGACUGACUCUCUUGGGGUCAGAUCGUUGAGUCUUUGGUUCCUCCUGUUGGCUGGGCUCGUUGGUCUUCUCCAGAUAGCAUCAGAGCCUCUCUCCAUGUGGCCUCUCUAUGUAGUUCUUCUGGCAAGGUAGCCAGACUCCUCAAGUUGUCAGGUAUAAGCCUGGAACUAACACACAGUCACGUCUGUCACAUUGUGUUGGCUAAAGUAAAAUCACAGGGUCAGCCUAGAUUCACUGUGGGAGAGGACACACAGGGUAUGAAUACUAGGAUGAGUGGUUCAUCAGGGAAGAGGGAGUACCUUGCGGAGUUUAGCUGCUUCAGUCCAUGUGUUCCUUGACCACAUCAUUUCCUGGAUCCUCAAGGGUAAAAACUGAAUAUUUCUCUUGGUGUAUCUUUUGUGUUGUCUGAGGCUAAGAAAUGCCUUUCACAAGCAACAAGUUCCUAUUACAUAGCACGGGGAACUAUAUUCAAUAUCCUGUAAUAAACCAUAAUGGAAAAGAAUAUGAAAAAGAAUACAUAUAGAAGUUCUCACUGUGGCGCAGUGGGUUAAAGAUCUGGUGUUGCUGAAGCUGUGGUAUAGGCUGCAGGUGCAAUCUGGUUUGAUCCCUGGCCAGGGAACUUCCAAAUGCCACAGGUAUAGC